UUCUUUCUUUCUUUCUUUCUUUCUUUCUUUCUUUCUUUCUUGCAUUUUUUCAUUUUUUAUUUUUCGCAAUAGCCUUGCCUGGGAGGACUCGAAGGCUGACCUGCAGAGGGCAAUCGUUGGACACGGAUGAUAACAAAGGCAGCUGGGAAGAUUAGGCUCAGGCACGUGGCUGUGACCCAGGACUGCUGCGUAGCUCGCAGCAUCUGAAAGGCGAUCGUCGGGGACUUGGAGAACACCAGCAUCCGUGAGGUGGGAAGGCAGCGGAGCACACAAAGCCAGCCAGAGGCGCCGAGGUCCCUUUCCCAGGGCUUGUUAACACUAUAAUCCGGCACCAGGAGGGAAGGCGAGAGUGCUGAGCGGGGAGGGGGGGCAGCUUUCCGCUGCCCAGAGCUUCUUUCCCUAGCUCAUCAGAUGCCUCCCUGGGUUUUACACACAGUUGGAGUUCGGCUCGAAACCAGGAUUUAAAGGAAAUCGCGUCGGCUGCCAUGAAGAGCCGUUCAGCGCAACCCCAGGGAGAACUCGAGAGAGGGGAAAGGAUGGCAGACAAGCCCAGAAGAAGAAGCUGGAAGCUGGCCAGGGCCCCGGAGUCCAGCAGCCCUGCGUGGAUUUGGGAUCAUCGCUCGCUGGGCGACUCUCUCUUGGAUUCUCCUCCUCCCGUUCCUCUGGGCCACCGGACGUACAGUUGUGGAUUUAUUGUCGCGGUGCGUGCAGCUCCAGCCUCCUCUUCGCCUCCUCUUCCACCACCACCGGCGCCAGCACCACCACCGGCUUUCUGACUCUCUUCGGUGACGGGUAUUCUUGGGUGGAUAAUACGGAUUACGUUGUUAUUGCUUAAGAAUACGCGUAGUCGAGGAGAGUACUCGCGGCAGGCGGGUGGGCAGCGACCACCCACCCCGGUUGGCUCCUUAAACGGCUCUAGUUGCCAAGCCAAUAGGAUGCCUCCCUGAUCUUCUGAAGCCAACAGCACAAGUUCCACAAUGCGAGAAGGCCCCAGUAAACGCACCACCUUCACCACUUCUAAAUCAUCAAGGGAAUUUUCAAACCAAUCUAGCGUUCAUCAGCCAGUUCAUUCAGGGUUCUGAAGUUCCACACUUGGAGCCAGUUUGCAGAGAUGUUCACAACUAGGAGCUUAUGAAGACUAUUCUGGUGAGCCCAUGAUAGGGCAAUAACCUCAGGUGGGGCUGAAAGGGGAUGAUGGAGAGCAGGAGCUGUAAGAUGAGAUGGGGGGUGUUGGGAAAGACAAGAGGUGAUUUUUUCCCCCUGGUGAGAAGAGAAGGAUGCAAAAACAGAGAACUAACCUGUGUUUCGGACUUUGAUGCCUUGAUCCUGAGAGACAUUGCACUGACAUGUGAUGCAUAAGCAGGAAAAUACGCAAACUUGCAACCCUCCCUACCUGAUUUCUGCACGGAGAAAAACCAAAUUCCGCAAUGAAAAUUAAUUAGAAAAAGUAAGUGCAUUUGUGAACAUCUGUGUUUUUCUAUGUUUUAGCAUGUUUCUAUUAGCUCCUGGAAGAAACACGAGGCACUCGUUCUGACCAGUGACCAAAAUAAAUUGAUUUAUUCAUUCAUUCACACAAAGCACUGGAACACCUUGAGUAGUAGAAUCAUAGAAUCAUAGAACUGGAAGGGACCCCAAGUUCCAUACCUUGUGAGAGAUCAACCCAGAUGUUUUCAGCUUUAUCUCUGAAUCCAUAAGGGCUAGAAACUUGCUUUAAACAUUUGUGACAAAUCCAAAAUUCUGCACUGGCUCAAAAUUGUGCAUUCAGGCCUGCUCCCUAGGAGAAGUAUACAUUCAGCUGCACCACUGUAAGAGCAUGACGACAGUCUGGUCCAAAGGUGCCAUGCAAAGUGAGUUUGUUCAGCUCUGAUUGGGCAGGUGCUUAUUUGACUUGCAUCCUGUCCACAGGAUCAGAGCUUCACAAGCUGGUGCUUUUGUUCUGCACCAGGUUACACCCUCUAUGCCUUUUAAGCAGCAUAGAACAAAGGGCACCCUGGCCAGGUUUCGAGCUGGCUCAGGAUUUUGGGUGGCUCCUGAUGAAGACAAAUGUAAAUGACUCCCACUUUGCCAAUAAGCAAUGUGGCAAACACAACCAAACAGGAACUGUGGGAAGGGUCGCAGCAGAAUGGAAGAACACAUGCUUUGCACACACACAAAAUCCCAGAUUUGGUUUCUGGAGUCUCCAGUUUUGUUUAAAGGUCAGGGAUGAGAUGAUGGAGCUUUUGAGAGAGUCCAAGACUCAAUGACACUCAAGGGUAACUUCCUGGUAGAUUCUGCCCAAUGGAUCAGAUGUAUUGUGUCUCCUGCCCAGCCACUCUCAAAGCACCCUUCAGUUUAUCUAGUAGUAGAACCAGCCCCAUCUGCCCCCCUAUUGCAUGAUGUUUCACCAGCAUCUCUGGUUUGUUUACAUAGCACUCUGCUAGGCUAUGUGAACUAGCUAUGCUAGUCAUACUUUACUGUGACUGAUCAUCUGGGGGUGUGGGCAGGCUGGUUGGCUUAUCGGGCUGCAGGAUCAAAGCAUCAUGGUGUUGUUGUUGUUUUUUAAAAGGGGAACUGGGCCACUCUUUAAAUAACUCUCAUUUGUUAGGAUGGCACCACAAAGUCUGCUUCCAAAUGAGCAGAAGAGAGACAGAAAUAAAGUGGAGUUGUCAUGGGCAAUGGUGAUUGUUUAACACAAAUUGAUUUAAGGCAGAAAUAAUAGGAAGCAGAGGGAACGAUGAUGAGAAGGGAGGAGGCAGAGGAGCAAAUAGACAAGAAGCGGGGGGAGGGAGGAGGAGUUUGAUUCAGCAAGUGGAAAGGCAGAAUUGUGUUCUCUGGGGGGCAAUGCUCAGCCUAUGCUGUCUCUGUUUUAAUAUGUUGUGAAAUGUGCGCAGUCAACUAUUGACAGGUGACCAUUGCAGCAAAGUGGAUUGUGAAUCAGAUUGGGAUCAGGGAUACCUCGGUGCAAACCCACGCAGUCAUGAACCUUCCUUGGACCUGUCCCUGCCUCUGUCUCCCUGGCAGGGCUGUAUUGAGAACAAAACACAUCGUAUCCUGAGCACUUAUUCCAAAUACUGUCAAUACUAAAUGUGGUUAUUGCAAACCUUUUGCUUUUACAAUCUAUACCAGCAGCUAAAGAAGCUGCAACCAGCUUUUGCUUCCUUAUACUGACAUUUCAAUAUUGUAAAUAGUUGCACUGAAUAAAGAUCUUUGUACACCCGAAGUGGUAUUCACCUUACUUUUGCUUCAUUGUUAAGAUCUCUGGAUCUUUGGAAUCCCUGUUGUCAUGAAUUUUUAAAAACACGAGUUCCAAAAAUGUGCAUCAGGCUAAACUGCUGUUUAUAUGCAAUGUUACGUAUAGAAAGUUGAAUUAAUUUUCAUCUCAUGUGGGGAGGGUGGAGAGAGUGUUCCUGCUUUCAAAUUACAUCUGACAAUAGGCUUUUAAGAGUUUGGGAUGCUUUCACUAUAACAAUGGAAUAUUUUAAUCUUUCAUAAUGGAUUUUUUAAAAACCUAUUUUGAAAUGUAUUUUUUCACUCUACAGAAGUGGGAUGCUUUAAAUGAAGCAUUAGAAUUAGGAGCUACUAAGACAUGCUGUGUGUUGAUUCUGCUCAGCCUCAUGCUAGCGAAAACCAGAUAGGAAUGCAAUCUGCGUGCAACCCUUUAACAUCCAAAUUCCAGGCUGUGUGCAUCUCUGAAUUACAACCAAUUAGAAAUACUUUUCUCUUCUUCAAAAAAAACCCACCAAAAAAACAAAUUUGUUGAGACAUCAGUCUAGAAGCAAGCGAAGGGCAGAAUUCAACUAGGACAGUUUUAUUUUAUUUUUUAAUUUACUGAAAAUGUUUCUAACCUAUUACUGUGAUACAUGGCUGGUUGUUUUUCUGUGGUUUCCUAAUAUAUUGAAUGUGCUUUGUAUGCUGUAUAU
Molecule: long non-coding RNA, 3899 nt
Organism: Podarcis muralis (Common wall lizard)
Lineage: Eukaryota; Metazoa; Chordata; Lepidosauria; Squamata; Lacertidae
Source: RefSeq, a predicted model, not a curated record